GAAAUGCGAUAAGUAGUGUGAAUUGCAGAAUUCAGUGAAUCAUCGAAUCUUUGAACGCACAUUGCGCCCUUUGGUAUUCCAAAGGGCAUGCCUGUUCGAGCGUCAUUUGUACCCUCAAGCUUUGCUUGGUGUUGGGCGUCUUGUCUCUAGCUUUGCUGGAGACUCGCCUUAAAGUAAUUGGCAGCCGGCCUACUGGUUUCGGAGCGCAGCACAAGUCGCACUCUCUAUCAUCAAAGGUCUAGCAUCCAUUAAGCCUUUUUUUCAACUUUUGACCUCGGAUCAGGUAGGGAUACCCGCUGAACUUAAGC
This 308-nucleotide unclassified non-coding RNA is filed under the name plant metagenome. RNAcentral describes it as "partial contains 5.8S ribosomal RNA, internal transcribed spacer 2, and large subunit ribosomal RNA". The stretch from base 1 to 105 matches the Rfam family "5.8S ribosomal RNA", at positions 50 to 154 of the family's 154-position model. The record is from RNAcentral.